CAAAAGAGGUGUAGACUGGAAGAAGGUCUCUUGGACCCAGAAGCAAUAUUUAAGUGAGGGACAUUUGCAAAUCCUACGUUUAUAGCCCAGAGCUUCUACCAAGGCCUUGCAUUAUAGCUGGAGUGUUUGGAGCCCUGUUUUUAAAUGGAUUGCAACCAUCGAUGGGUCAUAAAAAUCAAUAUACUGAAUGAUGUUGUACAUUUUGACAGUGCUUUGGAUUACACUGGAGCAAAAUCUGUCAAAUCUCAGUGACUACAAACUUAAGAUUUCUAUAUUUCAUUUUAGGUAAAGAAAUUGAAUUCUAGUUAGUUAUGCAUGCUGAAGUAUUUAGAGGACCCGGAUUGAGAACUCCUGGCUGACAGCUCUGGUCCAGAAAUGUUGCGUUUUCAUAAGGACCACUGACCCCCGAAAAGGACCGACACUUCCUGCCUCCCCCACCUCUCCAGGGCUGAGGGACGACCACCAGGAAACAGGUGGCGGAGUGCUCUGAAAACCAAACCGCACCAGAUGCACCUGAGAAUUCCUGUUACUAUUACUGAGCCUUGGACAAGCUCGGAAGACCCAGAUGGGUGACAGGAAUUAAGAGUAUAAGAUCUCAAAUUGCCCAAGCCCAGCUGGGAGGCCUAACACUGACCUCAGGUAAGACCGCUAAGACCUUGAGACAAUGUGGACAAUCUGAGCCUCCCCCAAGUUAAAACAUGCAAAUGCUUCUGCCUUGGGCUCCAUGAACUGUUUCUCCCGUGUAGAAUUGUCACUGCGAUCACUGCGGCAGGCACUAUUCCUAUCCAAGCCUCCCGAUUGGGAAGAGCCCCUUUACGAACGUGGUUUCUGGCCCUGACGUUGACU
Molecule: long non-coding RNA, 846 nt
Organism: Mustela erminea (ermine)
Lineage: Eukaryota; Metazoa; Chordata; Mammalia; Carnivora; Mustelidae
Exons: 4
Source: RefSeq, a predicted model, not a curated record